AUUUUCUUGGAGCCUGCGACCGAGUGGGAGUGGAGUGGAGCGGCUGUGGUUGCCGACCCUUUCCUCUUCCCCACGGUCCAGUCAGCGGGUUAAUUAGGCCAUCGGCCCUCGAGCCGAGACUUGUCUCUUAUUUAGUUCUGGGGAGCGCCUCGUCGACAUGAGUGAUGUAGAGGAGAACAACUUCGAGGGCAGAGUUAAUGUUCGUGAAGAAAUUGAAGAGUUUUUUCCAAGAAUGUGGAAGAUAAAUCAAGAUAAAAGAAGGCUAAUGAAAAGUAUUAAAGAUCAGAAAAUUAAAAUUGAAUGGGGGAAAAAAUUGAACAGAAGAUUGGUCAGAUAGAAGCACUUGAAUAUUUUUUUAAGGCUAUUUUGAAUUGUUUGAAUUGGGGAAGAAUACACGAAGUAUGAAAAAUGAAAAACUCAAUGAAGAAUGAAGAGAAGUAGAAAGCAAGAGUGAAGUAGAAUUAAAAGAAUCUGGAAGAAUGAAUGGGUCCUAGGUUAAGUAAAUGUAUGGUUUAUGUUCCAGUGUCUGUAUGAUCAAGUUGUAGAUGAAUUUGCAUGAUUACUUAGUUAAUAGAGAAUUGGUGAUCUGGUUCAAGUAGGGAAUUAUUGAGGACAGUUAGCAGUAUUAACAAUGGGUUAUUAUUGAGCUGAAAUUUUUUCUGGAGGGUGUUGCCUAACCAUUUGUUUUUCAGGAGCAAUCAAUAUAAAUAAUUACGGUACUUUAAAUGUUAGGUGUUAGGCAUCUACAUGACCAGUGCCAUUUGUAAUACUGUCUUCUUUGUUAGGAGUCUCGCUCUCAGUCAAAAUCUCCAACGGGAACUCCUGCUCGUGUAAAAUCGGAGAGCAGGUCAGGAUCUCGUAGUCCGUCAAGGGUUUCCAAACACUCUGAAUCCCAUUCUCGAUCAAGAUCAAAAUCCAGGUCGAGGUCAAGGAGACAUUCUCAUAGACGUUACACUCGAUCCAGAUCCCACUCUCACUCUCAUAGGAGACGAUCUCGAAGUAGAUCAUAUACACCAGAAUACCGGCGGCGAAGGAGCCGAAGCCAUUCUCCAAUGUCUAACCGGAGAAGACAUACUGGCAGCAGGGCAAAUCCAGAUCCCAACACUUGCCUUGGAGUGUUUGGCCUCAGUUUGUACACAACAGAGAGAGAUCUUCGUGAAGUAUUUUCUCGAUAUGGACCAUUGAGUGGUGUCAAUGUGGUUUAUGAUCAGCGAACUGGGCGAUCUCGAGGAUUUGCUUUUGUGUAUUUUGAGAGAAUAGAUGACUCAAAGGAGGCUAUGGAAAGGGCAAAUGGAAUGGAGCUGGAUGGUAGAAGAAUUCGGGUGGAUUAUUCUAUCACCAAGAGAGCGCACACACCAACACCAGGCAUCUACAUGGGCAGACCAACUCAGUAAGAGUUCAAGUUUUCUAAGCUAAACUAUGAAAUCCACCAGAAAUAUGUGCAAAAUUUUGAUUACUCAGAAACUUUUUUCCUAUAAUUAGAAUUGAUUUUGGCAAGGGGCAACAUGGCAAAACCCUGCUUCUACUAAAAAAAAAUAAAAAAUUAGCCAGGUGUGGUGGCAUAUGCCUGUAAUCCCAGCUACUCGGGAGCUGAGUCACAGGAAUCACUUGAACUUGGGAGGCAGAGGUUGCAGUGAGCCUGGGCGACAGAGU
This 1653-nucleotide small RNA is filed under the name Pongo abelii (Sumatran orangutan). RNAcentral's name for it is "retained intron". The record is from RNAcentral. Lineage: Eukaryota; Metazoa; Chordata; Mammalia; Primates; Hominidae.